AUGGCAUUUGGGCUGACAUGGGUUUUCCUUGUUGCUGUUUUAAAAGGUGUCCAGUGUGAGGUGCAGCUGGUGGAGUCUGGGGGAGGCUUGGUCCAGCCUGGGGGGGUCCCUGAGACUCUCCUGUGCAGCCUCUGGAUUCACCUUCAGUGACCACUACAUGAACUGGGUCCGCCAGGCUCAGGGAAGGGGCUGGAGUGGGUUGGCCACUCAAACUUUGUUUUUAAACAAAGCUAACAGUUAAACGACAGAAUACGCUGCGUCUGUGAAAGGCAGAUUCACCAUCUCAAGAGAUGAUUCAAAGAACACCCUGUAUCUGCAAAUGAGCAGCCUGAAAACCGAGGACACGGCCGCGUAUUACUGUGCUAGAGACACAGUGAGGGGAGGUCAGUGUGAGCCCAGAUGCAAACCCCCCUGCAGGGGCGCGCGGGGCCUCCAGGGGGCGCUCGGGACCCACUGAGGACGCGCAGGUCCCAGGAGCAGAUAAAGAGCACGUUGUCUUCACUCUGAGUCUGAGGGAGGAGCUGUUCCUGUACAACCAAGGGCCUUCAGAGACCCCCGUGUGCAGCUGUGCAGAGUCAGAUGUUUCCCCAUCUCCAGCGUUCUCCAUCGGUGUCAUCACCUUGCAGAUCUGCUGCCCUGCCCUGCAGACUAAGGCUCUGAUUCCAUAA
RNA transcript from Cercocebus atys (sooty mangabey), 668 nucleotides. It is a transcript of the gene named Ig heavy chain V-III region VH26-like, with no coding region annotated. The record is from RefSeq and is a predicted model, not a curated record. NCBI's taxonomy places the organism in Eukaryota, Metazoa, Chordata, Mammalia, Primates, Cercopithecidae. The transcript has 4 exons.